UUCUGGGGGUCCUAGAUUAAUGAAGUCAUCGUAUUUGUGUUCCUUGUGUAGCUGAUGAGAGUGCAGCAGCAGCAGAGCACUGAUCUGGAGCAGCAGAAGCUGCAGGCAGUAGAGAGCGCUCUGGGCCUCAGGCUGGACCGGAUGGAGCAGAUCGCUGCCGCAGAAAUGGACCUGCAGAGGGAGCGCAAACAGUGCACUGCACUACAAGAGCAGGUGGAGAAACUAGAGCAGGAGGUGUGUGAGCGGGACUCCAGACCAGCGCUGAGGGACGUCAGGAGGCCCAGAGGAACCACAGCCGCACAAACAGGCAAAAACUGCAGGGAGUGGAAAAGGGACCUGCUGACUGGAAAAAGCUGCUCAAGAAAACCAUAA
RNAcentral lists this long non-coding RNA (372 nucleotides) under Sinocyclocheilus anshuiensis. RNAcentral's name for it is "lncRNA (ENSSANG00000002470.1)". The record is from RNAcentral. Lineage: Eukaryota; Metazoa; Chordata; Actinopteri; Cypriniformes; Cyprinidae.